This 478-nucleotide ribosomal RNA is filed under the name uncultured organism. Its description in RNAcentral is "partial 16S ribosomal RNA". It matches the Rfam family "Bacterial small subunit ribosomal RNA", at positions 332 to 801 of the family's 1533-position model. The record is from RNAcentral.
UACACUCCUGCGGGAGGCAGCAGUGGGGAAUUUUGGACAAUGGGCGAAAGCCUGAUCCAGCAAUGCCGCGUGUGUGAAGAAGGCCUUCGGGUUGUAAAGCACUUUUGUCCGGAAAGAAAUCCUUGGCUCUAAUACAGUCGGGGGAUGACGGUACCGGAAGAAUAAGCACCGGCUAACUACGUGCCAGCAGCCGCGGUAAUACGCAGGGUGCGAGCGUUAAUCGGAAUUACUGGGCGUAAAGCGUGCGCAGGCGGUUUGCUAAGACCGAUGUGAAAUCCCCGGGCUCAACCUGGGAACUGCAUUGGUGACUGGCAGGCUAGAGUAUGGCAGAGGGGGGUAGAAUUCCACGUGUAGCAGUGAAAUGCGUAGAGAUGUGGAGGAAUACCGAUGGCGAAGGCAGCCCCCUGGGCCAAUACUGACGCUCAUGCACGAAAGCGUGGGGAGCAAACAGGAUUAGAAACCCCAGUAGUCCCAUGAU